GUGUAGUGGCAAGAGGCGUUAUUUACCCAGUCAGACAUAGAGGAGUUAUUUACCCAGUCAGAUAUAGAGGAGUUAUUUACCCAGUCAGAUAUAGAGGAGUUAUUUACCCAGUCAGAUAUAGAGGAAGGAGUUAUUAACCCAGUCAGAUAUAGAGGAGUUAUUUACCCAGUCAGAUAUAGAGGAGUUAUUCACCCAGUCAGAUAUAGAGGAGUUAUUCACCCAGUCAGAUAUAGAGGAAGGAUUUAUUCACCCAGUCAGAUAUAGAGGAGUUAUUUACCCAGUCAGAUAUAGAGGAGUUAUUUACCCAGUCAGAUAUAGAGGAGUUAUUUACCCAGUCAGAUAUAGAGGAGUUAUUUACCCAGUCAGAUAUAGAGGAGUUAUUCACCCAGUCAGAUAUAGAGGAAGUAGUUAUUUACCCAGUCAGAUAUAGAGGAGUUAUUUACCCAGUCAGAUAUAGAGGAGUUAUUUACCCAGUCAGAUAUAGAGGAGUUAUUCACCCAGUCAGAUAUAGAGGAGUUAUUUACCCAGUCAGAUAUAGAGGAGUUAUUUACCCAGUCAGAUAUAGAGGAGUUAUUAACCCAGUCAGAUAUAGAGGAGUUAUUAACCCAGUCAGAU
Molecule: long non-coding RNA, 615 nt
Filed under: Salmo salar (Atlantic salmon)
Lineage: Eukaryota; Metazoa; Chordata; Actinopteri; Salmoniformes; Salmonidae
Description: lncRNA (ENSSSAG00000088877.1)
Source: RNAcentral